This is an RNA transcript of Magnolia sinica, 2898 nucleotides long. It is a transcript of the gene named light-inducible protein CPRF2-like, with no coding region annotated. Lineage: Eukaryota; Viridiplantae; Streptophyta; Magnoliopsida; Magnoliales; Magnoliaceae. The record is from RefSeq and is a predicted model, not a curated record. The transcript has 9 exons.
GAUAGAGACCGAAAAGAGAGAGAAACGCAGAUAUGGAUAGGGUAUUUUCGGCGGAGGAAAUUUCCGACCAUUUCUGGCCAUCCCAUGCAUCUUCGGCAAGCGACGGACAGAAGACGGCGAUGAACCGAAGCUCCUCUGAAUGGGCUUUCCAGAAAUUCCUACAAGAAGCUUCCGUCUCUGAAAACGCUUCUGCACCUCCUGCCGGACCAGAUGCUUCUUCUUCUUCUUCUUCCUCUCUCAGGAACAAAGAUGCAGCUGUCGCCUCUGAAUUCGUUGAGAUCAAAGCCCCUCAGCCAUCUGAUUCGUGUCCCGAUGUUCCGAUUGACUCCGACGAGUACCAGGCAAUGCUCAAGCGCCGUCUCGAUCUCGCAUGCGCCGCCGUUGCGCUUUCAAGGGCAUCUGUUGUUAAACCUCAAGAUUCAGCUCCUUCAGCUGACAGUGGAUCACAUGCUUCAGACACUUCACACUUGGGAUCUCAAGCUCCUAGUAAAGAGCCUGGAUAUGGUUUCUCAAGGAUACAAGAUCAGGCUUCAAGUGGACCAAUUGGCAUUCCAGCCUUACCUACCAUGCAGAAAAAUUCAGGGGUUCAAAUUAGGCCAACAACCAGUGGGUCAUCAAGAGAACAAUCAGACGAUGAUGAUCUUGAAGCAGAAACAGAAACAACUGAGAACAUGGAUCCUGCUGAUGCAAAACGUGUGAGGAGGAUGCUAUCAAAUAGAGAGUCUGCAAGGCGCUCUAGAAGAAGGAAGCAAGCUCAUUUGAGUGAACUUGAGGCACAGGUUGCACAGUUGAGAGUUGAAAACUCUUCAUUGCUGAAGCGUCUUGCUGACAUAAGUCAGAAGUACAAUGAAGCUUCUGUUGACAACAGAAUUCUGAAAGCAGAUGUUGAAACAUUGCGGGCAAAGGUGAAAAUGGCCGAAGAUACGGUUAAGAGAGUGACAGGGGUGAACCCUCUGCUUCCGACCAUGUCUGAUGUUUCAUCCAUUAGUAUGCCUUUCUCUGGCAGCCCAUCUGAUGCAGCCACUGAUGCUGCUGUCCCUGUUCAUGAAGACCCACAACACUUCUUUCAACCAACACAUGAUCGAAGAAUGAACUCUGCUGUUCCUGACAUUGCUCCUGCCCCUGCAAUUGAGGGUGUUCACAGUGCUGGAAACAAGAUGGGCCGGACAGUUUCCAUGCAAUGGGUGGCCAGCUUGGAACAUCUGCAAAAGCGGAUUCGUGAUGGAACAAACCCUUGUGGGCCUGUGCAAUGGGAAGGCGGGUGGGACCCGGAAUCCACCCAUACAGCAGAUGCCACUAAUAAGCAGAACCAAGUGUGAAUAUCUGCUGUUACAGUGGAAACUGCAAUAUUAUUUAGCAGCUGCCACGGUCGAGCUGCUGCAAGGAUUUGCCAAGCUGCAAUGAUUUAAUAUUGUUUAGGGAUGCUGUUCGCUGUGAUAGAAGGUGAAAAAGCUACAAAAGCCCAAGCAAUGGAUAAAAGUCCCCAAUACCAAGAGAAGACGAGGGAAUGACAUGGGUGGAGGUGGUAAGAGAAUACUUGAUGACCUAUGGUUUAAUGGAGAAUAUGGUCCUUGAUAGGGUGGAAUAGCGGGAAAGGAUUUGCAUGGCCAACCCCAAUUAGAUGGUGUAGGCUUAGAUUGAUGAUGAUGACGGCAACCAGAAGAUGAGGGAUCCCUUCCUAACUAGGGAAUUAGCUUCCCUUUGAAUUUGAUGAUAACCCAUCAGGAAACUCUCUCCGUCCUCUAACAUGGAUUCAGAAAUCGCAACGAAUUCUUCUGGACUUUUCUGUCGAUGCUUAAGGGAUUAGCUUCAAUUCUGUUGUUCCUUUCUUUCCAAAUCGCCCAUGUAAAGGCACACGGUAGCAUCUUCUAAAGAGCUGCUACUUGGGGGAAUGUAUAAUUUCAAGAACCUAAUGAAGAGGGCAGCUGGCUUACACAUGUAUAGCUAUGAGGGUUCUGGGAAAUAACUGGGCGCAACACCAAAAAUGUUCUUGGAUGAAAAUGAACCAUCAUCGUGCGUGUGCCCCUCCACCUGUGAGUGAUUAAGGGAGGCCUGUUUAGAAGAUCAAGAAUCACAACUACCAUGGUACCACAGCUUAGGAUGGAAAUGGAGCAACCAUACAACUUUUAACUUCAACAAGCUCAUAGGCAUCCUUGACAAGAGUGUUCCUUGUAGCUAGGAAAUGGAACCUUAGGAAACCUUGAAGCAAGUGGAAGCUCCUCCUACCUUCCACAUUCUCAUAGGAAUCCUUCAGAAGAGUGUUCCCUUUGGAUAGCAAAUGGAUCCUUGGAAAAUUUUAAGGGGAAGCUCCUCCAACUACCAGUAUUCCUUUAUUGAACUGAGCCUGUGUAGGAAGGGGAGCCUUAGAAACCUUGAAGAAAGGGGAAGCUCCUCCAACCAUGUUCCUUCUGUGAAGUGAGAAUCAACUAAGUUGAACUUUGCGGCCGGGGAUUGUAAGUGGGCCCUACAUGAUCCAACUAUGUAUGAGGUCAAGGAAUGCGUGACAAGAUGUGAAAUCAAUCCCAUGGCAAUCACUAUCGCGAGUGUGCUGCAUCAUCUUAUAACAAGUAUUGAACCUGAGUUACCUGUACUAUGUAUUUUUAUGCAUCGCUUGGCCAAAUGGUGUUUGUGGUUCGAGGGCCUGCUGGUAAUCUUGUAGCCUGGUCUGCUGUACCUUCAAGUCAUGGCUCAACCUUCCUAUUGGAAAAUCGUAGCCAGUGAUUGUUCCUUCUGAAUGUGGGUUGGUUGAUGAGCUGUCGAUUUGCUGGCCAGGCAAUUAAGAUAAACCAACACAGAAGAUCUUUGUCCGCGCAUAGGGAAUUCAUUAAGGCAAUUAAAGGUCUGGAUUACCUGAAUGUGAGCCUGCCUAUCAAUUUGCCACAAUGGUUGUUUUUUUUU